AGGAACCAGUCCCAACAGGAAGCCUGCCUGCCUCGCAGGUCGCGCUGCGGGAAGCAGCAGUGUCACGACUCACUGCUCUGAGCUGCGUGUGCCCAGCAGACCCACCAUCCUGACCACUGCCUGUGUGAACACAUCUCCUGAGCACAGUAUGGCACUAUGGUAUGAUUCUUUCUGUGCUAAUUUCUGAAAUACAAGAAAUCCUAAACUGAGGAACCAAUGCAUGGUGAUUUGACAAGGGAGAAGGGAUAUGCUAAUGCAAAGCUUAAACAGGACGCCUGUGUCCCCAGAAAAAUAAGCCUAUCUGCAUUGGCCAGCCCUCAGAUCCAGGAGGCAUCGCAAAAGGAUCUGCAUCAACCUAU
Long non-coding RNA from Falco peregrinus (peregrine falcon), 359 nucleotides. RefSeq lists it as uncharacterized. NCBI's taxonomy places the organism in Eukaryota, Metazoa, Chordata, Aves, Falconiformes, Falconidae. The transcript has 3 exons. The record is from RefSeq and is a predicted model, not a curated record.